This is a non-coding RNA of Balaenoptera ricei (Rice's whale), 1770 nucleotides long. Lineage: Eukaryota; Metazoa; Chordata; Mammalia; Artiodactyla; Balaenopteridae. The record is from the annotation of a RefSeq genome assembly.
AUGCGGGAGAAGAGGCGAGGUAAUGGGCCAGAGGAAGACAAAGAUCCGGGAGGACUGCCCUGUACAAACCAUCUGGCCCCCACUUUACUGCGCCUCAUCGGGGAGGACGCCCACACCCUCUCUCUCCAGCUCCCUCAGGGCGGCUCCAGGGGACACCGGGGCUUCAGACCCCCGGAAGGUGCAGGGCCCCAGGACCUCACGGGCCGGCAAGAGGAAGGAUCCUCAGGGCCAGUCAACCACGAUGCAGGCGCCUCUGGUGCUCAUGAGAGCGGUGGGCGGGGGGUGGACCAGAGUCCGGCGGCCCGGGCGGAAGUGCCCCUCGUGGGCGAUGCUGUGGGUGUGCCAGGGUCCGUGAUAAAACGCCAGAAGUCCCUUGACCAAGCCAGCCUUGAGCAGGUGGGUCCCAGAAGCUAUUCAGGCCUCAUCUCCUCCACAGCCAGGCCAUACUACGGCCUCCUGGGACGGGAGGAUGGAGGACAGAGCCCCAAGGAGCGCGUUCAGAAAUGGCUCAGCUGGACUCAGGUGGCCGCUGCCGGCCCCGGGUGCACCACGUACAAGCUGCGCGACCUUGGGGCAGUCACUAACUCUGUGUUGACUGAAACCAGCCCCAGACUCUUCCCACUGAGCCUCAGCAGUGCCAACUCAGACGGGCAGGUGGUCAUCGCCUGCCUGGUCCAGGGCUUCUUCCCGUCAGAGCCACUGAAGGUGACCUGGAGCCAGAGCGGCAGGGACGUGUCCAUCAGGAACUUCCCCCCUGCUCAGGCCGGGGGCCUGUACACCAUGAGCAGCCAGCUGACCGUGCCGGCCGACCAGUGCCCAGACAGCAAGUCUGUGAAAUGCCAAGUGCAGCACCUCUCCAAACCCAGCCAGGCCGUGGACGUGCCCUGCAAAGGUCCAGAUCCGCCGUGUCCAGUUGUGUGCAAGGUCAGCCUGUCCUUGCACCCACCGGCCCUUGAGGACCUGCUCCUGGGCUCCAAUGCCAGCCUCACGUGUACGCUGAGUGGCCUGAGAGACCCCAAGGGCGCCACCUUCACCUGGAACCCGACAGGUGGGAAGAAUGCCAUCCAGGAGCAGCACAAGCCUGACCUCUGCGGCUGCUUCAGCGUGUCCAGUGUCCUGCCGCGCUGCACCGAUCCCUGGAAAAAAGGACAGUCCUUCUCCUGCACUGCCACCCACCCCGAGUCCAAGAACCCGCUAACCGCCACCAUCAAGAAACCCUCAGAGAACACGUUCCGGCCACAGGUCCACCUGCUGCCGCCGCCGUCGGAGGAGCUGGCCCUCAACGAGCUGGUGACGCUGACGUGCCUGGUGCGAGGUUUCAACCCCAAGGAUGUGCUGGUGCGGUGGCUGCAGGGGAACCAGGAGCUGCCCCGCGAGAAGUACCUGACCUGGAGCUCCCUGCCCGAGCGCAGCCAGAGCGUCCCCACCUUCGCCGUGACCAGCGUGCUGCGCGUGGACGCCGAGGCCUGGAAGCAGGGGGAGUCCUUCUCCUGCAUGGUGGGCCACGAGGCCCUGCCCCUGGCCUUCACCCAGAAGACCAUCGACCGCCUGGCGGGCCCUCCAUGUCUUACAGAUCACCAGGACCCGCUGCCCUGGCUGGUGCUGGACAUGCUGCGGGAGGGCCCCGAGGAGGACAGCCUGGAAGCCAGCCUGUGGCCCACCACCAUUACCCUGCUCACCCUCUUCCUGCUGAGCCUCUUCUACAGCACGGCGCUGACCGUGACGAGCGUUCGGGGCCCGCCUGACAGCCGAGAGGGCCCCCAGUACUGA